UACAGAGGUCUCAAGCGUUGUUCGGAUUCAUUGGGCGUAAAGGGUGCGUAGGUGGCGCCGUAAGUCGGGUGUGAAAUUUCGAGGCUUAACCUCGAAACUGCAUUCGAUACUGCGGUGCUUGAGGACUGGAGAGGAGACUGGAAUUCAUGGUGUAGCAGUGAAAUGCGUAGAGAUCAUGAGGAAGACCAGUGGCGAAGGCGAGUCUCUGGACAUUUCCUGACGCUGAGGCACGAAAGCCAGGGGAGCAAACGGG
This 253-nucleotide ribosomal RNA is filed under the name uncultured bacterium. RNAcentral describes it as "partial 16S ribosomal RNA". It matches the Rfam family "Bacterial small subunit ribosomal RNA", at positions 524 to 776 of the family's 1533-position model. The record is from RNAcentral.